Limulus polyphemus (Atlantic horseshoe crab) is the source of this 418-nucleotide long non-coding RNA. RefSeq lists it as uncharacterized. NCBI's taxonomy places the organism in Eukaryota, Metazoa, Arthropoda, Merostomata, Xiphosura, Limulidae. The record is from RefSeq and is a predicted model, not a curated record. The transcript has 2 exons.
GACUUGUUUCCUGAACGCAGGAAUGUCUCUUAGUUGUGACUAUAAGGACCUUGUCAGUGCUUUAGAUGAACAGAAAUUCUGGGCUUCUGAAAACUCACCAGGACGUAGACGUAGAUCAAUCUCUCCAUUUGCUUUCAGUACCCCUAAUCCUGGUACUGGAUCAAGAAUUUCUAGAUUCUUGCUUGCUCUUGUCCCAAGUCGCCAUCACAGGAAGUAGGGCGGAUGGUGUUCCUAAUUCUUGCAUAAUUAGCAGACGAAUACAAGACUUAAUCAUCCAAAGAAUGAAGGAAAAGACAAAGUUUUUAUAUUUGAAAUCAUUAUUCUGCAGAUUAAUUUAAAGUUCCUUAAGGAAAACUGGUUAAUGUAACUGAUAUUUGGAAAUCAAUUAAAUAUAUGCUUGAAAGGCAAAUGGACUUCA